This is a non-coding RNA of Paramuricea clavata, 76 nucleotides long. The record is from the annotation of a GenBank genome assembly. NCBI's taxonomy places the organism in Eukaryota, Metazoa, Cnidaria, Anthozoa, Malacalcyonacea, Plexauridae.
UGAAAGAUCAUUGAAAACUGUAGAGUAACUUCUUUGACAAAAAGGAGGUUACUCUACAGUUUUCAAUGAUCUUUCA